AGACUUUCACAGUGUCAGGUUAGUUACCUAAAUCUUAGGUAACUUUAGGUUAGUUACCUAAAGUCACUCUGUGACUUCAUCCUGAUAUAAAGGAACAAGGAAGAGAGUCGGAUUAGGCUAACUCACUAUGAUGGGGUAACACAUAGAAAAGGCACGGAGAAGUUAAGUGAUUUGCCUGUGGUCACAAAGCCUGUUAGCAGCAAACCCAGAACAAGAACCUAAGAUUUAUGACCGCCAGUUCCAGCUGUUUUUCUUCGUCAUGUAUCCUCAGCAAUCAACAUAAUCAAAAUCUGUUUGGAGACUACUGAUUUGUAUAAAGGAAGAUAACACCGAACAACCAAACAGGAAGUAAUCCAGCGAAUCUGGAACAGCGGUGGAAUUUAGAAGCAAGGCCAGAUGAGGACCCUAAGACCUAGAGAAACUAAGUCAUUUGCUCAAGAAGACAAAGGUAAUCAUCAGAAAUCAACAUGAGAUUUCAGCUCUCCUGAUCCUUAGUACAACAUGUGAAAGAAGAUAUGUUGUCUUUACUCACAGUGGAGGCAUUUUUCUAGCUGUGUUUGAUUUGGCUUCCCUAUAGAUUCAGGACCCAUAACUCUUGUUCUCACUCAUCUGCUAUGCUGCUGAUAAGGACUUUCAGGUCAACAGCUGUAACUGCUAAAUGAAGUUAAUACUCUGGAAAAAAAAAAAAAAAAAA
This 694-nucleotide long non-coding RNA is filed under the name Homo sapiens (human). RNAcentral describes it as "PREDICTED lncRNA (TCONS_00238472)". Lineage: Eukaryota; Metazoa; Chordata; Mammalia; Primates; Hominidae. The record is from RNAcentral.